RNAcentral lists this transfer RNA (67 nucleotides) under Marmota monax (woodchuck). Its description in RNAcentral is "tRNA.Ser". The record is from RNAcentral. Lineage: Eukaryota; Metazoa; Chordata; Mammalia; Rodentia; Sciuridae.
GGAUGUAGCUCAGUGGUAGAGCACUUGUUUACUAAAUGUGAUGCCCUAGGUUUGAUCCCCAGUACCA